GAUUCUUCCUUAUCGUUUGUAACAAACUCACACGCUCUCUCUCAAAAAAUGCACAUGCCCAUGCACACUGACAUCCCUAAAAAAUAGGGAACGCUGAGAAUUCCAGACCACCCUCAUUUUUCUUAUAUACUCCCUUACUCAUCCUCUAAAACGGAGAUCGGAUCCCUCACCCUAAAAAAAAAACGCUAGCCAGCCGCCCCUCUAUUUCUUUUCUCUCCAUCACUCAAGCCCAUUCUCAUCUCACUAUCAUUUUACGCACACGAAUCUAUCAUCUGUUAUUCUCACAAACACACACGAGAUGGCUGAAAAAAUAGGUCUGAAACUCGAAAAUUAAAAAGAGGUCUGAAAACAAAAAGAAAAUUAGUGGAUUUCAACGGAUUUUACAUGGGAAAUGAUUCAAAGGUCUGGAGUUUCUUUUAUUUUUGGUUGAUUUGAGAGAGUUCUCCAUUUGUUCAUGGGUUUGCAAAUCUAGAGUGAAUCUGCAUUAUCUCCCCACUUUCUGGGUGUUCCAGUUUGAUUUCGGAUUCAGAAAUUGAAGCUGCGUUUUGUUGAUUUUUGCUGUUGCUGAGCUCCGAUUUACUGAUUUCCAGCACUUAUGGAGGUUGAUUGAAUACUGUUGGGUUUGCGGUGCCGAUUCGAAGUCCGUUCGUGGUUCGUAUCGUGUUUCUGUUGCCGUUUUAAACUCCGGACGUAGAUUCGUCUCGCUCGUAUAACUGCUGAAAUUUCUGUCAAUUAAAUCUUCUCAUUCAGGUUCUUCUUGAUUCUCUCUUAUCUCAUGAAUGGUGUGAUUAAAGUAUGAUAAGAGCUGUGGGUUAAAAUGGGUUUAAAGGUUAAAAAAAUUGGUAUAAUUGUUGAGAACAAAUUUACCGGGAUUGAAUGGAGUAUUGAUCUAAGAAGAUUUUCUUUUUAUCUUUAUGUUUGGACAUAUUCAGACCUUUUGGACUCGUUUGUUGUCGCUGAUCUUGGAUUCAUUUGAGUAUUAUUCCAGUGUGUACUUCAAUUACUUUUGGGUAUUUUCUUAUCUUUAAUGUUCAUUUAAGAUACGUUGCAUUCCAUAUGCUUGAGAGAUAACAAAAAUGGAUCUUUAAGAAGUCAAUUUGAAGUUUGCACAACUACUGACUUGUUUUGGUGUUCGUGGGAAUAUUGUGUUAAUCGGUUUAAAUAUCACUUCUUAUUGGCAUUAGAAACUGACAUGAUUUAUGGGAAUGAUUUUUCAUGAAAGGAAAUCUUUUUUUUUUGGGUGUGACCAAUGUUAAUUGCUAGAACUAUUCAUUCAUGUCGUUUGUUUCUAUGUGAGUAGCAAUUCUGUGUUGGUCUUAUACAGCGUAAAACUCUUAUCUAUGUCAAUUUGCAUCUUAUGUGUCAUAAGUAUGUGAGUUUAGUCAUGAAUGAGAUUGGUAUUAUCAAGGUUAAAUAUCUGGCAUUUAAAAACGGUUUGAGAAGAAUAGUAUUUCGAUAUUUGUUCUGUUUGGAUUUUAGAACAAUAGAUAGCAUUUAGGAGUCGACGGGGUUACAAAUGGAUUUUCAUAUAGCUCUUAUCAUACCUUUAAUCCACCUUUUGUUAUUUUGUCUCAUGUCGUUAUCUUAUUAGAGUCUUUUACCUGUUUAGCCGAUCAUAUUUUAUGUAUUUCUUUCUUGAGUGCCACAAAUUUUGUCAAUAGAUGUGAGUUUGCUCAUGAAUGACUAUUGAGUUGUGGUAGUGGGGAAUGACCAAAGCCCAUUAGCAAUUAAUAGUUCUCAUAUUUUAGGUAUCAGGCUCGGUCUAAUAAAUGAUAAGUUAAAGGGAUAUGGGCAUGAAAUCUCUCUUUUGCAAAAGUGCUCCAUACUCUCAAGCCUUUCACGCAUAAUCUCAAAGUAGUUUAGGAAAUAAUUCAUAAAUAUCGUAGCUUGC
RNAcentral lists this long non-coding RNA (1891 nucleotides) under Nicotiana tabacum (common tobacco). Its description in RNAcentral is "long non-coding RNA (NTAB_LNC001657)". The record is from RNAcentral. Lineage: Eukaryota; Viridiplantae; Streptophyta; Magnoliopsida; Solanales; Solanaceae.